This 440-nucleotide ribosomal RNA is filed under the name uncultured bacterium. RNAcentral's name for it is "partial 16S ribosomal RNA". It matches the Rfam family "Bacterial small subunit ribosomal RNA", at positions 339 to 795 of the family's 1533-position model. The record is from RNAcentral.
CUACGGGGGGCUGCAGCAAGGAAUUUUGCGCAAUGGGCGAAAGCCUGACGCAGCGACGCCGCGUGGGGGAUGAAGGCUUUCGGGUUGUAAACCCCUUUUCUCAGGGAAGAAAAAUGACGGUACCUGAGGAAUAAGCCUCGGCUAACUACGUGCCAGCAGCCGCGGUAAUACGUAGGAGGCGAGCGUUAUCCGGAUUUAUUGGGCGUAAAGAGGGUGUAGGCGGUCCUGCAAGUUGGAUGUGAAAUCUCCCGGCUUAACUGGGAGGGUGCAUCCAAUACUGCUAGGCUAGAGUGCAACAGAGGGGGGUGGAAUUCCCGGUGGAGUGGUGAAAUGCUUAGAUAUCGGGAGGAACACCAGUGGCGAAGGCGGCCUCCUGGGUUGUUACUGACGCUGAGACCCAAAAGCGUGGGGAGCAAACAGGAUUAGAUACCCUUGUAGUC